RNAcentral lists this ribosomal RNA (429 nucleotides) under Chloroflexota bacterium. Its description in RNAcentral is "Chloroflexi bacterium partial 16S ribosomal RNA". It matches the Rfam family "Bacterial small subunit ribosomal RNA", at positions 355 to 776 of the family's 1533-position model. Lineage: Bacteria; Bacillati; Chloroflexota. The record is from RNAcentral.
UGGGGAAUAUUGCACAAUGGGCGCAAGCCUGAUGCAGCCAUGCCGCGUGUAUGAAGAAGGCCUUCGGGUUGUAAAGUACUUUCAGCGGGGAGGAAGGGAGUAAAGUUAAUACCUUUGCUCAUUGACGUUACCCGCAGAAGAAGCACCGGCUAACUCCGUGCCAGCAGCCGCGGUAAUACGGAGGGUGCAAGCGUUAAUCGGAAUUACUGGGCGUAAAGCGCACGCAGGCGGUUUGUUAAGUCAGAUGUGAAAUCCCCGGGCUCAACCUGGGAACUGCAUCUGAGACUGGCAAGCUUGAGUCUCGUAGAGGGGGGUAGAAUUCCAGGUGUAGCGGUGAAAUGCGUAGAGAUCUGGAGGAAUACCGGUGGCAAAGGCGGCCCCCUGGACAAAGACUGACGCUCAGGUGCGAAAGCGUGGGGAGCAAACAGG